UACGUAGGGACCAAGCGUUGUUCGGAUUUACUGGGCGUAAAGGGCGCGUAGGCGGCUUAACAAGUCACUUGUGAAAUCUCCGGGCUUAACUCGGAACGGCCAAGUGAAACUGUCAAGCUAGAGUGCAGAAGGGGCAAUCGGAAUUCUUGGUGUAGCGGUGAAAUGCGUAGAUAUCAAGAGGAACACCUGAGGUGAAGACGGGUUGCCGGGCUGACACUGACGCUGAGGCGCGAAAGCCAGGGGAGCAAACGGG
RNAcentral lists this ribosomal RNA (253 nucleotides) under uncultured bacterium. RNAcentral's name for it is "partial 16S ribosomal RNA". It matches the Rfam family "Bacterial small subunit ribosomal RNA", at positions 524 to 776 of the family's 1533-position model. The record is from RNAcentral.